This is a long non-coding RNA of Dermacentor andersoni, 3149 nucleotides long. RefSeq lists it as uncharacterized. The record is from RefSeq and is a predicted model, not a curated record. Lineage: Eukaryota; Metazoa; Arthropoda; Arachnida; Ixodida; Ixodidae.
GUUAAGAUAAACAUAUCUCGCCAAUCAGACAGCACUACCAUCUCGGCUAAACGGCAUUAUUAAAUCAUGUGCAGUCCUGUUAUCCUUGCAGCUAUGAAUAAUCAGGAAGCACAUAUUCCCGAGUCCCAACAGGUGCAGUCCAGUUGCAGGACAUACAAUGCACUGGAAAGUCUUCCCAUAUAAUUUAUUCUCUUCACGGUUUACUCCAUUAGCAGCAUGACAGUACAAUGGCAGCAGAGAAGUGGGUUAAUGUGAAAGUGAACAAAUUAUUGCACAUUCCACAUGACCGUCAAAAACAUUACAGUGCCAAAAAUCAAGCUUAUCGGUAUUACAAUUAUUAACAAAACAGAGGCACGACUAGCAUUAUAGGAAUUAUGUGAGUAAUAAGUAAAUGAAAACAUCCAGAAUACACAGUACCGCAGGAAAUCCACAUUUGCAAAAGGAAACCUAGUUUCCCUGUGCACUUUGCUGCAUGCUAUGCUUUUGGUGUUGUUUUUACACCUAUCAAAAAUGUUAUAGUAAAGACAUCCCUAGGUCACCCCGAAAUUCUGUAUCACAACUUGGCAAAGCUUUUUUGCAGGCGACGUAAAGCUAAAGGAUUGGGAACGCCUCACAAUUCCUUAGCCCUCUUACGGUAGUUACAACCUGCCUCAACACAAAUACACUUCGUGAGAUUCAAAGGUGCAUACCGUUACAAUCUCACAAAGAAUGUUUCACGCUCUACAAGUAUGACUCAAGAAAUCAAACAAUACAAGAACAUAACUAAUGGUCUUGGAGUAUUGUACAAAAAUUAUGUUAGAUAUAUGUAUGCGCACUUAAUAAAAUUUUAAAUAACUAAAAGCACCUUACGCAUAAACUGGAAGUCUCCGAUAAUAUCAGCAAGCAGAAUUGACUUUAUUCUACAAGCCUGCAAAUCAGUCAUCUGUGCAUUUCAGUAUUCUUUGUAACAUAACGCAGAAAUGGGGCAUAAAUGUUUCAAUUUGAGGAACACACACUGGCACAAAUGAGCAAAACAAAAGUUAACCGUGGCAUUGGUGCAAGAGCAGAAACAUAUUGCACGUUGAACAUGCACUACCACAAGAGAAGGCUUAGCACAAGACAUAUCGCAUUCCUGAGAAACGAGGAACAAUUUGUACUUUGGCAUAGCUCGUUUAAGUGUUUGAUGUCUAGUUGUCUGUGUCUGUAAAAUCUAGAAAUUAAAAAUUGCACCUAUAAAUAAAAGAACUGUAUGCACAAGGUAAUGCGAUCAAUGCGCUAUAACGCAUCAUAUACUGGCAAGCUAGACAAAAUGGCAGCAAUGAAAGAACAGCAGGCACUUUAAUGAGCACCUUUCAUUGUCGCAAUGCAUCAUUAUCUGUAUCUGGUAGUAAAAUAAUUUCUUUCAUGCCAGGAGUGUCAUUAUAUGUGCUAAUAUUCAUGCACGCAAUUCCACCACCUUACUCCGCAUGUGUUUUAUUUUAAAGAAAGUACGUUUCAUGGCUGCCUCCUGCUGAACAAACCAAGCUGCUGUUGCCGUUGCAGGUAAUUCUGUUGUACUCUUAUCAAACAUUCACUGACCGUCAAUCGCAUGCCACACACUCUGCUCGAAAUGCGCAGCAACCUUAUGUAAUGAAAUUACAGAAGGCGUAUCUCAAGAUCAAGCACAAACAAAAUGUACACCUUAACACCUCAAAGCUGCUUAGCUUAGUAUCCAUUGCCCUGUUUUUCAUUCAUUGCAAAUUUUGUGAGCUCUGGCGCUGCUUGGCAAUCUGUAAAUCUAUUUUAGCACGUUCCGUUUGGACAUGUGUCAAGGCAAUAAGGGCAUCAGCCAGGCAGCCAAAUUUUUCAAUUGUUGAGACAGCUGCAUCAGUGAAAUUAAUUAAAUGUUCGGCUGCAUGUGCUAUCUUCGUUACUACCUCUGCUGCAGUCUGUGUGGUUGCUUGUACUGUCUCAGCUGCCCUUUUCUGCUCCUGCAGGGCAGCUGCCUCAAGCUCAACGUUCUGCCGAUUAAGCUGGAUCACCUCCUGUAAGUGCAUGGCCUGCUGCAUUGGUUUUGAUAGGCGUGCAGUAAAACGUGGUGUGGCAACAGGCUGCCGUGUUGCUGCUGCUGAUGGCUGCCGUGUGCUGCUGACUGGUGUGGUGUGGUGGUGCUGCUGCUGAGUGCUCUGGCUGAUAGGAACAGGCUCGUUCAGGUCUUGUUGCUGAUGACUGCUGUGAAUGGAAACAGCAUCGUCACCUGCUGCCGUGGCUGUCUGGCUGUACUCUCUAUCUGAUUGUAUGCUGUCUAAGGAAAGUGGGCUCCCUGGCACAUCAACAACAGUGGGAACAGGGCCCAGUGUGUCACCAGGGAUCUGCUGGCAUCAUUGUCAUCAGGAUGACACCACCUCUACUGGGCGUGGCAAUAUGAGUGGUGGGAUCGCAACUUGUUUGGACCAACAACACAAGCAGUGGCCUGCCCACUUUACACAGACUGUGCUUGUAAAUCUGCCUCCUGGAGUUUUGUAAAAUGUCAUAUAGAAGACGUUACAUAGUGUAUUUGCAAGAUAAUCAUGAAGACUGCUAUAGUGAUUGCUGAAAUUUCAUGCGCAAAAGGGCUUAUAAAGGAAGCACCAUGCCCGUUGCUGCUCAGUACUCGCUCGCUCACGUCUAUGCCGCCUGGUAAGCCCACAAGCAUGGGAUUUUCAGGCCCGAUGACAUCUCUGACGGCUUCCAGCAGGGCAGGUAUGUCAUGGUCAUUUCGACCAGCACCUGCAAACAUUCCAGACAUGCGUCACCCCUGUGCGCACAAGAAAACGCUGUGCAUAGUGACUAUAAGAUGUGUUUGCAUCACGAAAUACUAGUAGGAUUUAGAUAGAGCACGCACAUUAACGCACCUUUUGCAACAAUUCAUUACUUUAUAUGCAGCUGUAGCGGUGUCAGGAAAAGUCAAUUGAUGAUUGUGUGUGAUUAGUAUGCACAGUGUACCAUGUUUUAUCUGCAUGUUCUUGUGCCUGCCAUAUCAAAAUUACAAAUGUUGCUAUUUAUCAUGGAAUUAUGAGAUGUCACACGUUGUUUGUGCAGCCAUUGUGCUUUAUUAGCAUUAUUUAAUCUUUAUUCUAAAUGACGUGUUCAGCACUGAUUGCUUGAUGGUCUUGCUUCUGCGCAAAAUAAAUGUUUCCUUUUCUGUGUAA